This is an RNA transcript of Zingiber officinale, 1073 nucleotides long. RefSeq lists it as uncharacterized. The record is from RefSeq and is a predicted model, not a curated record. Lineage: Eukaryota; Viridiplantae; Streptophyta; Magnoliopsida; Zingiberales; Zingiberaceae. The transcript is spliced from 4 exons.
AAGCCUCAUGCUGAAAAACAAAAAACCCUCACUCGCCGAAACCUAAAUUAGCAAUCUGACCUCCUAACUCGUGAUCUCCUUUCACGCGAACUCCCUUCGCCGAAACCACUGACCCUAAGCUCCGUCUCCGUCUUCGUCAACUUCUUGAUCCCAGCACAAGCGCAGGAGGAGGAAAACCAAUGUUUCCGCCCCCUUCCUCAUUCGUCUCCAUCCUUGCUCAUCUUUGGGUACAAGUAAGUGAUUGAGCGCAAAGUUGCCUCCUUGGUAGGUUUCAGGAUUGGCUCCCCCUUUGGCUGUGCAAGAUUUUUUUUAGGGCAAGAGGGAGGUGCACAUGAGAGUAGAAGAUCAUGGAGUUCUGGACGGAGUUCUUGGUGAAUAGUGGGGCGGGCAUCAACGGCAUGGUCAGGGUCACCUUCAGCUAUCCACUCGACACGCUCCGUAUCCGCCUGCAAUAGCCACCGCCAACUCUCGCUUCCUCAAAUUCCUUCGCCCUUGCCCAAUGAUCCAUCUUGGGCAUCGACCUCCUUUGUAGAAUCGUCGCUCAGGAGGGCCUCACCAUGCUUUACCGUGGUAUGGUCGCGAUGCUCACCUCCGUUUCAGGCCAAAACAACAAAGAAGAUUGUGUUGACACUUCAAUGCCAGAGCUGUAAGCAUUAUUCACGUCAUCCAAUAAAAAGAUGCAAGCACUUUGAGAUUGGAGGAGACAAAAAGGGCAAGGGAACUUCUCUCUUCUUGUUUGUUUUUUUCCCAAAUUUUAGGAGCAGCAACUACAUGCUAUGUGGCACUGCAUCCGAACCUCAGGAGUGUGACUGGAAAGUACUUCGACGAAGAACUAUCAAGAAGGCUUUGGGAUUUAAGCAAGAAGAUGGUUAAAGCCAAUGAGUAAAGAACAUUCAAGUUAAGAGGAUAAGUAGCAUCUAUCAAGAUCCUUUAAGUUCAUGUAAUAAGAUGUAGUUGAUAGGAUUAGUUUUGAGUAUCUUCUAAUUAAAAUUUCUUUGUAUGCGAGUAAUUAUGUUUGUUAUAGAAGUGUAAGGAUGAUAAUUUAUAUAUUUAUCUCAGUUGUUAUUUUAUAA